UUUCCCCAAAUGGGCCAGCCCAAAAUAAACCUGAAAUCAGCCCAUCCCCACCUGCGGCGCAUCAUUUGCCUCCAAUUAAACUCUGCGAGCUCGUCCCCUGGUUCAGCCGUUGCGGAAGUUGCAGAGCCAUUUGCCAAAGUUUUUCAACACAAAUGGCGGGGGGACAGCCGGAGAGAGAAGACAAGGUUUCGUUGGAUCUCACCGAAGAAAUACUUCAGAGCAUGGAAGUCGGCAUGGCCUUUCGCGAUUAUAAUGGUAGAAUCAGUUCAAUGGAUUUUCAUAGGACAUCAAAUUUUCUGGUGACUGCUAGUGAUGAUGAAUCCAUUCGACUUUAUGAUGUUGCCAAUGCUACGUGUUUGAAGACAAUUAAUAGCAAAAAAUAUGGGGUUGAUCUAGUUUGCUUUACUUCACAUCCCACAACAGUUAUAUACUCUUCAAAGAAUGGCUGGGAUGAAUCAUUGCGGCUCCUCUCAUUGCAUGACAACAAGUACUUGCGGUAUUUCAAAGGACACCAUGACAGGGUUGUCUCCCUAAGCCUGUGCUCUCGAAAAGAAUGCUUUAUCUCUGGCUCUCUGGAUCGAACAGUUUUACUUUGGGAUCAAAGAGCUGAGAAGUGUCAGGGUCUUUUACGUGUACAAGGUAGGCCUGCAACUGCUUAUGAUGAUCAAGGGCUUGUCUUUGCAAUUGCUUUUGGAGGAUACAUAAGAAUGUUUGAUGCUCGUAAGUAUGAAAAGGGCCCUUUCGAUAUAUUUUCUGUUGGGGGAGAUGUCUCUGAUGCAAAUGUUGUUAAAUUCAGUAAUGAUGGGAGACUUGUGCUUCUGACUACUGCAGAAGGACAUAUUCAUGUUCUUGAUUCAUUCCGUGGAACUCUUUUAUUUACAUUCAAUGUCAAGCCAGUUUUAAGCAAUUCCACUUUGGAGGCAUCUUUCAGCACCGAGGGAACAUUUGUUAUAUCAGGUUCGGGUGAUGGUAGUGUUUUUGCCUGGAAUGCUCGAAGUGGCAAAGAAGUUGCCAGUUGGAUGAGUACUGAAACUGAACCUCCUGUGAUAAAAUGGGCUCCAGGAAGCCUAAUGUUUGUCACUGGUUCUUCUGAAUUAUCAUUUUGGAUUCCAGACUUGUCUAAAUUGGGAGCUUACGUCGGAAGAAAAUAGAAAUGCAUUUGCGAUGCAAUCAUAAUUUUUUAUUCUGAGGCAUUUGAAGUUAUCUUUGCAGGGGACAGUUGAAGAACAGAUGGAAGAACAUGCACCCCCUUCUGUACCAUAGAUUGUACUUUCUGAAGGUGAUCUGUGGUUCAGUUAUGUUAAAGUUUAGUGAUCCAGUGUAUAGUCACGACGCAUGUUGCUUUAUCACUUGAGGUUUCACAAUAUUGGGGAAAAUAAAAAAGAGAAAUAAACUCAUUUAUUCUACUCCAUCAAUGAGCGGCUAACCUUAGCACGUAAGGAUUGCAAGAUUGCAAGGUUUAGGUUCUUCAUAUAAUGAAAAACUAGCUGAUCCUUAUUAUUUUGGUCAAUUGUAAAUUUAUUUUGAUUAUUUUAAAUUGCUCCUAUAGGCCCAAAACUUUUCCUGAUUAUCAAUGUCACUUAUGUAGCUGUUGGUCAAUGAUUUGUUGAGCAUGCAAGUGUAGUCAAAAGCAUUGGCUUCUGUUUACCCAUUUCGAUUUUUUUUGUGUCCCACCAAAAAUACCUAAAUAUUAUAGUAACAUAUUGAUUGGUCCUCAA
Camellia sinensis is the source of this 1718-nucleotide RNA transcript. It is a transcript of the gene named Transducin/WD40 repeat-like superfamily protein, with no coding region annotated. Lineage: Eukaryota; Viridiplantae; Streptophyta; Magnoliopsida; Ericales; Theaceae. The record is from RefSeq and is a predicted model, not a curated record.